Molecule: long non-coding RNA, 329 nt
Filed under: Helianthus annuus (common sunflower)
Lineage: Eukaryota; Viridiplantae; Streptophyta; Magnoliopsida; Asterales; Asteraceae
Description: hypothetical non coding rna
Source: RNAcentral
CCUAUGUUUUCAAUACAGAAGACUAUUUCUUCCGUGUGAGAAGAAAAAGGAGAAAGCGAUUAGGAGAUGGAUCAUCAUCACGUAAUCAGGCAAAAAUAGAACGAUUUCACAGAUUCUUAUCAGCAUAAACAUGAAGAAUUUAGCCUAGAAAAAACUGCUACCUAACUCAAGGUUUCUUGCGGGUUAACAUAAAAGGAGAAAGGCAGGCAAUGUAAACAAUGAAGGGAGGUUAGAUGUGUAAAUAGAGAUUUAAUUGUGUAAAAUGUUGUUUUGCAACUCAAGGUUAAAGUGUUUAUAACAUUACAAUCUCAAAUAGAAGGGAUGUUCUU